This 297-nucleotide unclassified non-coding RNA is filed under the name Hevea brasiliensis (rubber tree). The record is from RNAcentral. Lineage: Eukaryota; Viridiplantae; Streptophyta; Magnoliopsida; Malpighiales; Euphorbiaceae.
GCGCAAUUCCCUUUCAUGACCUUGAGCGGGUGUAUUCCUGGUAUGAUCAAGUCGAAGGAUUUAUUCGUGGGCAAGACAAGGAAACAAAUGGGGUUGAUAGAUCGCAGCGACUAAAAGAUCGACAGUUGAUGAGUACAUUCGAAGAGUGAAUUUAAUUUGUAUGUAUAUGGGAUUGUUUGUUGUGCAUAUUUUCUGUGGUGAUUCCGUAAAUUUCCUUUUUGGUGUGUAAGAAUUAUGGUGUUGCAUUUGGAUUAUAUUGUAAUAUGGUUUAGCACUCUUGAACUUACUUGGAAUUGU